RNAcentral lists this non-coding RNA (190 nucleotides) under Desulfobacca sp. Lineage: Bacteria; Pseudomonadati; Thermodesulfobacteriota; Desulfobaccia; Desulfobaccales; Desulfobaccaceae. The record is from RNAcentral.
UUAAAAUAUAAAUUUACAGGUGCCUGGUAAGGCUUAAUAGGGAAGCCGGUGCAAGUCCGGCAUGGUCCCGCCGCUGUAACCGGGGACGAACCCUGCCUCGUGGCCACUCUGGCCUCGAAAAGACCAGGGGAAGGCGCAGGGAGUAGGUUGAUCCGGGAAUCAGAAGACCUGCCUGUAAAAUGGCGUAGUC